RNAcentral lists this small nuclear RNA (23 nucleotides) under Arabidopsis thaliana (thale cress). RNAcentral's name for it is "snRNA_08866". Lineage: Eukaryota; Viridiplantae; Streptophyta; Magnoliopsida; Brassicales; Brassicaceae. The record is from RNAcentral.
GCUAGAGAUUAACACUCAAAUGA